UUCUUAGUAAGGUUUUAGAUCUUCUUCAACUCUUGCUGCUAGCUACUUUACUUUAAAAAAAGAAGGAAAAUUAUCAUUUGAAAGAGGU
Molecule: non-coding RNA, 88 nt
Organism: Arachis ipaensis
Lineage: Eukaryota; Viridiplantae; Streptophyta; Magnoliopsida; Fabales; Fabaceae
Source: RefSeq, a predicted model, not a curated record